Molecule: ribosomal RNA, 439 nt
Filed under: uncultured bacterium
Lineage: Bacteria
Description: partial 16S ribosomal RNA
Rfam family: Bacterial small subunit ribosomal RNA
Source: RNAcentral
CCUACGGGUGGCUGCAGUGGGGGAUAUUGCACAAUGGGGGAAACCCUGAUGCAGCGACGCCGCGUGGGUGAAGAAGCGCCUCGGCGCGUAAAGCCCUGUCAGCAGGGAAGAAAAUGACGGUACCUGAAGAAGAAGCCCCGGCUAACUACGUGCCAGCAGCCGCGGUAAUACGGAGGAUGCGAGCGUUAUCCGGAUUUAUUGGGUUUAAAGGGUGCGUAGGCGGACAGUCAAGUCAGCGGUAAAAAUGCGGUGCUCAACGCCGUACAGCCGUUGAAACUGGCAGUCUUGAGUGGGCGAGAAGUAUGCGGAAUGCGUGGUGUAGCGGUGAAAUGCAUAGAUAUCACGCAGAACUCCGAUUGCGAAGGCAGCAUACCGGCGCCCGACUGACGCUGAGGCACGAAAGCGUGGGUAUCGAACAGGAUUAGAUACCCUUGUAGUC